CAAGUUAUCUUAAAAGUUAAGAAUUUUAUUUACAUUAAAAGUUUGGUCGUGCAAUUCGAUAUAACUUGA
RNAcentral lists this transfer RNA (69 nucleotides) under Cyrtonotula maculosa. RNAcentral's name for it is "tRNA-Val". The record is from RNAcentral. Lineage: Eukaryota; Metazoa; Arthropoda; Insecta; Blattodea; Blaberidae.